UGCAGAUUACACUCGCAAUUUCUAUGUGUAUAUAUCAGAAAUCGUGAGUGUAAUAUGCAGCGUCCAUAUGCCUAUGUGAUGCCCGUGCACGUGAAGGAGAGUCGGGUUCUGCCAGGCUGUCAGAAUCCGGCACAACAAAGAUAACAUCAGAAGAGAAAGAACCACGUCGACUUACAAGGAUAUGCCCUGCCCCUGUAUUACCUAAGCGGAACCAUUUCACUUCACAGGGGUGUCACUAUCCUACAAGAAUGGGUUACAACAACGGUUCUAGGUUGCAGACAUCACCCCUCCCAUGAGCUGGCCGUGGGCCCUCUGGCAUACUCAUGAGUGAGCUCAGCCUGCUCUGCCUUUUACUGACUCUGCUACGGAACAGACAACAGGUGAUUAUUAUAGGUAAGUAUAACAGGUAGGUAUACAAGUAAGUAUUACACUCACACACACAGUCUUAAAGUCUCCCUGGUGAUGGGCAAUACCUUUGCCUCAUCACACUGACAUAGUACCAAUCGGACACUGGACAACAGAGCUGAAAAACAGACAGUAUGGUCCAAAACCAGGCACAUGGCAACCCUAGGUGUCCCAUUUUCCUGAGGCACAGUUGCACAAUUUAAUGUCCAUACCAUGUAUAAAUUUCCACAACUCAAAACCUACUUGAAGGGUAAUCUGAAUGUCUACUUCAAAGUCAUGUGCUUUUCAUUCAUUACUUGAACAACAUCUCAAAUGCUAAAAAAAAAAUAGCUUAAAAAGGGCUAACUAUUGGCUACAUGACACACUGACCCGACAUUCCAGAACAAACAUUAACAUUGUAGCACACCACACAGAUUUACUGACCUUUGUAUUAAUACAGCAAGAUAUUAAAAAGCUUAAAAGACUUGUCAGAUGAAUAAAG
This is a long non-coding RNA of Colossoma macropomum (tambaqui), 886 nucleotides long. RefSeq lists it as uncharacterized. The record is from RefSeq and is a predicted model, not a curated record. NCBI's taxonomy places the organism in Eukaryota, Metazoa, Chordata, Actinopteri, Characiformes, Serrasalmidae. The transcript has 3 exons.